RNAcentral lists this unclassified non-coding RNA (235 nucleotides) under plant metagenome. Its description in RNAcentral is "partial contains small subunit ribosomal RNA, internal transcribed spacer 1, and 5.8S ribosomal RNA". The record is from RNAcentral.
UUUCCGUAGGUGAACCUGCGGAAGGAUCAUUACCGAGUAAGGGUCAUUCUGGCCCGACCUACAACCCUUUGUUUAAUUACUAUGUUGUUUUCGCGGGCCCGUUUCACGACCGCCUGAUGUCCUCGCACUUCUCGCCCGUUCCCGCCAAAAGCCUUCUACAACCUCUUGAUCUAUUGUUAUGUCUGAGUAAUAAAUUUAAUAGUUAAAACUUUCAACAACGGAUCUCUUGGUUCUG